AGCACGUCUUUAGCACAACAGAAGGUUCGGUUGGCAGGAGUCUGAAGACUGGACGAGAUGGUGUCACUUGAGCUCUAUGGAGAUUUAAUAAGAGACAUGAUUGAUCAAAACCUCUCGCACGCGGACAUUUCCACGAAUUUAUCACAAUUAGGUGUGCAGCGAUGUUCUGAAAUGAGUGUCAGGAGAUUUUGUGCACAACAUUGUGCAACAUUUCCAGGAGGGGACAUGUAUCCGACACACAAUUAGAAGUUGCUAUCAGCAGGGCAAUAAAUCAGACAGGGUCAACAUAUGGUUGAAAGAUGAUGACCAGGUACCUGUCUGCGAUGGGAGUAGUUGCUGGUGAACGCCAGAUAGGGAGGAUUUUGAAAACAACGCAUUGUCCUUAUCACGAAAUGCACAAAUGUGGUGCACGUAACCUUAACCCCGUCCCCUACAGUGCUGCAUACAUGGGACACAAAAUCCACAUCGACCAGAAUGAAAAACUGGUCAUGUUCGGAGUGACGCACGUUUUUGCAGUAGAUGGGUACAGCAGUAAGGUCGUUGCCCAUGCAACCAUGCCUGUCAAGAAUAACCUCACGAUAUAUGAGGAAGUUUACAGAUCAGCAGUUCUUGAAGAUGGGAUGUGGGACCAGGUCAGGGUGGACCAUGGCCGUGAGUUUUACUUGUCCCUCUACAUGCAGGAGAUGCUGUCUAACCACAGACACAACUUGCAAAGAAUCAUACAGUAGAGCGAAUGUGGGUAGAGAUAAAUAACAGGGUAAAUUAUUCAGUGAAGGAGGCCCUCAUGCAGCUGCAGGAUCAGGAAGUCCUCAACAUGGACGACAACGUGACUAGAUGCUGCACAUCUAACCUUACUGCUGAGCUGUGCAAGAUUGGCAUAACAAGAGCUGUACAUGCAUCAAAUGCACACAGAAUCCCAGAUGUUCAGAGGGAGAUGAUGCCACAUCUGGUCCAGCUGAUGGAAGGUCUUGAAGUUCUCUGACUGGCCUCGACUGAAGAUGGUCGUCUCACUGGAUUUAAGGUUCAGAUGCUCAGUAACAAACUCCACCAAUGUGCCAACAGGGAAGCUUUAGGUUUAUUAAAUGUUGCUGUGAAGGUUUCACUGUUUUUCUUAGUGAAUGCAAUGUGCUCCAACUGAAAGUUGAAUUAGAACUUAGAAGUAAAUCCUUCCAUCUAAUAUCAUGAUUUAUGUAAAUUUACCUCAAUAAUAUGAAUGUUCAGGUUAAGAUUGUACAGUGAUAUUUAUUAUGUAAGUUUAGCUGAUUAAGGUUUAUGACUCUGCACUAAAAUAUUAUUUAAAUUGACAUCAUUAUUAUAAUAUUUAGGGUCAGACCCUACAGUAUUGAGAUUAAGAAAUCAAACAUUCUAUAAAAUGUAAAUACACUGAACUCAUUUGGAUAUACUUAAGUGAGACUCUACAAUAUUAUUUGACACAAAUCUAAAUCAAAAUUUUAAUAAUUUUCACGCCAAACAUUUACUGGACUGAUUUAAUUAUUAAAAUCACUCCUUUCUAAUCCUCUGCUGUACGUUCAAACCUGAGGCCUUAAAUAGAAACACACAAGUAUCUGAUUGAAGGAACUUCUGCAGAGUCCUGGUUCCAGAACAUGAUGAUAGAAUUAUAGACAAACUUUAACAAAAGCUGCCUGAGAGUUUACAGGUUUUUAUGUUGGAUUUCUUCAGUAAUUUAAUGAGCGUUAUCAGCAAAAAUCAAGUGUUCAUUUGAUGAACUUCAUUUCCUAAAACAUCCUGAAUUGAAGCUCAUAUCUUUGGCAGCUGUAAAGUUUCUGCUCCUUCAAAGUUCACAACACAAUGAAUGAAUUCCUAAAACACUCUCAAUGCUGGAGAGCGUUUGAUGCUGAAGCAGUGAUCAGUUUUUCUGUUUCUUCUCUGGAGAUGCACAAUGAGGGACGUCUGCAGAGACUGAGAAAGAGUCUCACCACAUCCUGACAUGAGGAAAAAGACUUUAUUGAAGACUGCAAUGAGAAAAACUAUCAGACAGCAGACGGCUGCAUUCAAGUCUGUAGCUGCUGAAUUCAUGGAUGAAUCAUCUGGCACUAGAGAAGAACACCAUCAAACAUCCACGUCAGCUGAUGGAGGUCCAAGAGUCUCACCGAACAACCAACCUACAGAGUGAAGACCUCAAAUCUGAUUGGACGGCCUCCUAUUCAGCCACAUGUGUGAACAAAUGCCUCUAAGCUGAUUUGUUUUCUAAAAUAAAUCUAGUUUGAGUCCUAAUCUAUGCCUGUGUGUUUGCUUCUUUACACGGCUGUUAACAGUUUAGGCUGUUAGAUUGUUCCAGAUAAGACAAGUACAAGAUACUUCAGAGCCGUUCUACCAGGAGCCUGACAGGAAGAACUCCAACAGCUACUGAAUGUUCCUGUGGUCCCCUCAAGGCUACAGGAGGAGCCCUACGAGGACGAGCCGGUCCACCUGAUGGCGGCCAGUCGCUGCGGUUCAAAGCCAACACCGACUACGUAGACUUCUACUGGACCACACGGAGGCCUUCAAACCGGACCAACAAGUUCCCCGACUCCUCGACUCGUGGGUCUGAGGACGCUGCCGAGCCUCGGUCCAGCCGGCCUCCUGUCUGUGGGUGUUUGAUUGCUGAGAGGUUUGUGGAUGCAUGUGAACGUUCUGUGUUGAAACAGCAGCUUUUGACUCAGUAACGCCGGGAAAAACCAAGAGCGCCUUUAUUUGUGACUUCCACUAAAAAAACUGAUGAAAAUAAGUUUGCCAGGGUUCUGACUGAUAACAGAUUAUUAAAUAAUGAAAAUAAUCCUUUAAAUAUUCCUUUAAACAAUCCUUUUAGGUCUACAUUUCCUUUGCACUGACUUCUUGGUAUAUGUACAAGUAUUUUGGGUGGAAUAUACCAUUAAGCCCGAUGUUCAAGGGUUCUUCUGGGAAUAUACCAUUAAACCAACCUUUUAGGUAAAUGUUCCAGGAUGUUGGGUAGAAUAUACCAUCAGAUAAACCUUUUAGGUCUACAUUGGAAGAUUUUAGAGUAGAAUAUUACUCCAAACCAUCCUUUAGGUCUACAUUUAAGGUGGAAUACUCCUUUACUCCAAGAUUUUUUGGUCUACAUUUAAGGAUUUUAGGUGGAAUAUUCCUUUGAACGAACUUUUUAAGUUUAUGUUAAAGGAUGUUGGGUGGAAUAUACCAUCAGGCCAACCUCCAAGGUCUACAGUAGUGAAUUUUAGGUGGAAUAUACCAUUAAACUCACCUUUUAGGUCUACAUUGGAGCAUUUUAGGUGGAAUUUUCUUCCAAACUGUCUUUUAGUCUACAUUUAAGGAUGUUUAGGAUGGUAUAUUCUUCCAAACCAACUUCUCAGGUCUACAUUUCAGGUGGAAUAUUCCUCCAUAUUAACUUUUUUGGUCUACAUUGAAGGAUUUUUUCUAAACCACCCUUUCGGGUCUAUAUUUGAGGUUUUAGGUGGAAUAUUCCUUUUAACCAGCCCCUCAGGUCUCUUUGAGGAUUUUGGAUGGAAUACUCGGUUAAACCAACAUUUUAGGUGCAUGUACAAGGAUUUUUGGUGGAAUGUUCCUUUAAGGUGGAUGUUUGAGGAACUUGUAGGUGGAAUACUUCCUGAAACCAACCUUUUAGGUCAACAUUCAAAGAUUUAAGGUGGAAUAUUCCUUUAAACCAACCUAAAUUUCAUGUUUUGAUCAUUAUCAAGUGAGAAACCUUAAUCCAGACUCCUCAUAAUGACAUUUGAGAUUUAUGCUGCUGUUAUUUGUUUAGUCCAGAUGAAAUGACAGAAAUCC
This is a long non-coding RNA of Amphiprion ocellaris (clown anemonefish), 3762 nucleotides long. Lineage: Eukaryota; Metazoa; Chordata; Actinopteri; Pomacentridae. The record is from Ensembl.